This 306-nucleotide long non-coding RNA is filed under the name Zostera marina. RNAcentral describes it as "long non-coding RNA (ZMAR_LNC002513)". The record is from RNAcentral. Lineage: Eukaryota; Viridiplantae; Streptophyta; Magnoliopsida; Alismatales; Zosteraceae.
AGAAGUUUUAGAAUUAGUUAAAAUAAUUAACUGUUAAUUUGUGUAUAUAAGAUAAUGUAUUAUGAAUAAGUUAAUCAAUCAAUUACAUCAAGUUAAUUACAUUUUUGGUAAUUAACGCAAAUUAAAUUUUCCCUCUUUUCCCUCUUUCUUUCUCCUUCUUCCUAUCCGUUACUGUUAGGUGUUUUCCCCAAUCUUCUUGGGCGAAAAUCCCUAAUCGCAAUCACGCCAAUCUCCUGCAAAGUUCUUGCCGGAGUCAUUCCCGUCGCUCAUCAUCGUCACCACGACCUCCAGCACGGGAUUUUAACA